RNAcentral lists this ribosomal RNA (520 nucleotides) under uncultured bacterium. RNAcentral's name for it is "bacterial SSU rRNA". It matches the Rfam family "Bacterial small subunit ribosomal RNA", at positions 28 to 595 of the family's 1533-position model. The record is from RNAcentral.
AACGAACGCUGGCGGCAGGCUUAACACAUGCAAGUCGAACGCCCCGCGAAGGGGAGUGGCAGACGGGUGAGUAACGCGUGGGAACAUACCCUUUCCUGCGGAAUAGCUCCGGGAAACUGGAAUUAAUACCGCAUUCGCCCUACGGGGAAAGAUUUAUCGGGGAAGGAUUGGCCCGCGUUGGAUUAGCUAGUUGGUGGGGUAAAGGCUUACCAAGGCGACGAUCCAUAGCUGGUCUGAGAGGAUGAUCAGCCACAUUGGGACUGAGACACGGCCCCAAACUCCUACGGGAGGCAGCAGUGGGGAAUAUUGGACAAUGGCGCAAGCCUGAUCCAGCCAUGCCGCGUGAGUGACGAAGGCCUUAGGGUUGUAAAAGCCCCUUUUCACCGAUGAAGAUAAUGACGGUAGUCGGAGAAGAAGCCCCGGCUAACUUNGUGCCAGCAGCCGCGUAAUACGAAGGGGGUCUACGNAGUUCGGAAUUACUGGCGUAAAGCGCACGUAGGCGGAUAUUUAAGUCAGGGGU